GCAUAUCAAUAAGCGGAGGAAAAGAAACCAACAGGGAUUGCCUCAGUAACGGCGAGUGAAGCGGCAAAAGCUCAAAUUUGAAAUCCUUCGGGAGUUGUAAUUUGUAGGUUGGGAGACCCCGCGGCUAGUGGCACCAAGUCCCUUGGAACAGGGCGCCUUAGAGGGUGAGAGCCCCGUAGGUACCACAACACCGUCUUGUGUCUCCUCUCCAAAGAGUCGAGUUGUUUGGGAAUGCAGCUCAAAGUGGGUGGUAAAUUCCAUCUAAAGCUAAAUACCGGCGAGAGACCGAUAGCGAACAAGUACAGUGAUGGAAAGAUGAAAAGCACUUUGAAAAGAGAGUGAAACAGUACGUGAAAUUGUUGAAAGGGAAGGGCUUGCAAGCAGACACGGCCUUCGUGCCGGGCCAGCAUCGGUUGCUAGGGGUGGAUAAGGAACAAGGAAUGUAGCUCCUCGGAGUAUUAUAGCCUUGCGCGAUACACCCACUGGCGACCGAGGCCUGCGGUAUUCUUUACCUAGGAUGCUGGCGUAAUGGUUGCAAGCCGCCCGUCUUGAAACACGGACC
RNAcentral lists this ribosomal RNA (562 nucleotides) under Sungouiella intermedia. RNAcentral describes it as "eukaryotic LSU rRNA". It matches the Rfam family "Eukaryotic large subunit ribosomal RNA", at positions 38 to 667 of the family's 3401-position model. The record is from RNAcentral. Lineage: Eukaryota; Fungi; Ascomycota; Pichiomycetes; Serinales; Metschnikowiaceae.